This 498-nucleotide ribosomal RNA is filed under the name uncultured bacterium. RNAcentral describes it as "partial 16S ribosomal RNA". It matches the Rfam family "Bacterial small subunit ribosomal RNA", at positions 30 to 523 of the family's 1533-position model. The record is from RNAcentral.
AUUGAACGCUGGCGGAAUGCUUUACACAUGCAAGUCGAACGGCAGCACGGGGCAACCUGGUGGCGAGUGGCGAACGGGUGAGUAAUACAUCGGAACGUGCCCAAUCGUGGGGGAUAAUGUAGCGAAAGUUACGCUAAUACCGCAUACGAUCUACGGAUGAAAGCGGGGGAUCGCAAGACCUCGCGCGAAUGGAGCGGCCGAUGUCAGAUUAGGUAGUUGGUGGGGUAAAGGCUCACCAAGCCAACGAUCUGUAGCUGGUCUGAGAGGACGACCAGCCACACUGGGACUGAGACACGGCCCAGACUCCGACGGGAGGCAGCAGUGGGGAAUUCUGGACAAUGGGCGCAAGCCUGAUCCAGCCAUUCCGCGUGCAGGAUGAAGGCCUUCGGGUUGUAAACUGCUUUUGUACGGAACGAAACGGCUCUCUCUAAUACAGGGUGCUAAUGACGGUACCGUAAGAAUAAGCACCGGCUAACUACGUGCCAGCAGCCGCAGUAA